GGAGUUUGGUCCGUGUCUCAGUACCAAUGUGGGGGACCUUCCUCUCAGAACCCCUACUGAUCGAUGGCUCGGUGGGCCGUUACCCCGCCGACUACCUAAUCAGACGCAUCCCCAUCCCAUAGCGGUAAACCUUUGCUCCUCGUCAGAUGCCAUCAAAAAAAAGGGAACAUAGGGC
Molecule: ribosomal RNA, 175 nt
Filed under: uncultured Prevotella sp.
Lineage: Bacteria; Pseudomonadati; Bacteroidota; Bacteroidia; Bacteroidales; Prevotellaceae
Description: partial 16S ribosomal RNA
Source: RNAcentral